UGGGGAAUAUUGGACAAUGGGCGAAAGCCUGAUCCAGCCAUGCCGCGUGUGUGAAGAAGGUCUUCGGAUUGUAAAGCACUUUAAGUUGGGAGGAAGGGCAGUAAGCGAAUACCUUGCUGUUUUGACGUUACCGACAGAAUAAGCACCGGCUAACUCUGUGCCAGCAGCCGCGGUAAUACAGAGGGUGCAAGCGUUAAUCGGAAUUACUGGGCGUAAAGCGCGCGUAGGUGGUUCGUUAAGUUGAAUGUGAAAGCCCCGGGCUCAACCUGGGAACUGCAUCCAAAACUGGCGGGCUAGAGUAGGGCAGAGGGUGGUGGAAUUUCCUGUGGAGCGGUGAAAUGCGUAGAUAUAGGAAGGAACACCAGUGGCGAAGGCGACCACCUGGGCUCAUACUGACACUGAGGUGCGAAAGCGUGGGGAGCAAACAGG
RNAcentral lists this ribosomal RNA (429 nucleotides) under Pseudomonadota bacterium. RNAcentral describes it as "Proteobacteria bacterium partial 16S ribosomal RNA". It matches the Rfam family "Bacterial small subunit ribosomal RNA", at positions 355 to 776 of the family's 1533-position model. The record is from RNAcentral. Lineage: Bacteria; Pseudomonadati; Pseudomonadota.